ACUGCUCAGUAACACGUGGACAACCUGCCCUUAGGUUGGGUAUAAACCCGGGAAACUGGGUAUAAUACCCGAUAGGUCUCGAUUGCUGGAAUGCAUCGAGAUUUAAAGCUCCGGCGCCUAAGGAUGGGUCUGCGGCCUAUCAGGUAGUAGUGGGUGUAGCGUACCUACUAGCCUACGACGGGUACGGGUUGUGAGAGCAAGAGCCCGGAGAUGGAUUCUGAGACACGAAUCCAGGCCCUACGGGGUGCAGCAGGCGCGAAAACUUUACAAUGCUGGCAACAGCGAUAAGGGAACCUCGAGUGCCAGGUUACAAAUCUGGCUGUCGAGAUGCCUAAAAAGCAUUUCAUAGCAAGGGCCGGGCAAGACCGGUGCCAGCCGCCGCGGUAACACCGGCGGCUCGAGUGGUAACCGUUAUUAUUGGGUCUAAAGGGUCUGUAGCCGGCCGGAUAAGUCUCUUGAGAAAUCUGGCAGCUUAACUGUCAGGCUUUCAGGAGAUAUUGUCUGGCUCGAGGCCGGGAGAGGUGAGAGGUACUUCAGGGGUAGGGGUGAAAUCUUGUAAUCCUUGAAGGACCACCAGUGGCGAAGGCGUCUCACCAGAACGGACCUGACGGCAAGGGACGAAAGCUAGGGGCACGAACCGGAUUAGAUACCCGGGUAGUCCUAGCCGUAAACGGUACUCGCUAGGUGUCGGCCACGGUGCGACCGUUGUCGGUGCCGUAGGGAAGCCGUGAAGCGAGCCACCUGGGAAGUACGGCCGCAAGGCUGAAACUUAAAGGAAUUGGCGGGGGAGCAC
Molecule: ribosomal RNA, 793 nt
Filed under: Methanosaeta sp. enrichment culture clone A14138
Lineage: Archaea; Methanobacteriati; Methanobacteriota; Methanomicrobia; Methanotrichales; Methanotrichaceae
Description: bacterial SSU rRNA
Rfam family: Archaeal small subunit ribosomal RNA
Source: RNAcentral